GAUGAACGCUGGCGGCGUGCCUAAUACAUGCAAGUCGAGCGAAUGGAUUAAGAGCUUGCUCUUAUGAAGUUAGCGGCGGACGGGUGAGUAACACGUGGGUAACCUGCCCAUAAGACUGGGAUAACUCCGGGAAACCGGGGCUAAUACCGGAUAACAUUUUGAACCGCAUGGUUCGAAAUUGAAAGGCGGCUUCGGCUGUCACUUAUGGAUGGACCCGCGUCGCAUUAGCUAGUUGGUGAGGUAACGGCUCACCAAGGCAACGAUGCGUAGCCGACCUGAGAGGGUGAUCGGCCACACUGGGACUGAGACACGGCCCAGACUCCUACGGGAGGCAGCAGGAGGGAAUCUUCCGCAAUGGACGAGAGUCUGACGGAGCAACGCCGCGUGAGUGAUGAAGGCUUUCGGGUCGUAAAACUCUGUUGUUAGGGAAGAACAAGUGCUAGUUGAAUAAGCUGGCACCUUGACGGUACCUAACCAGAAAGCCACGGCUAACUACGUGCCAGCAGCCGCAGUAA
Molecule: ribosomal RNA, 515 nt
Filed under: uncultured bacterium
Lineage: Bacteria
Description: partial 16S ribosomal RNA
Rfam family: Bacterial small subunit ribosomal RNA
Source: RNAcentral